UCGCAGCAGCCCACCGAAAUUGCCCCAAAUCCUUUCCUCAUUUUUUUUAGCUCUUAUAUUCCCUUAACCCAACCCAACCGCUUACCCCUUAGACCCAGUAGCGUGAACAAUUGCAAGAGUGAUAGGAUGAUGACUGACAACGACAAACUUCAGCGGUGUAAUGCGUGCAAAACGGUUCCAAUGUUCUCAAACGUUAAUAGAGCAGCGCACAUGGAUCCACUCUCGGCGACCAACAGCAAUAUGCAGCUUUUCGCCUGCAAGAAUUUUCCUUGCAGCUGCGUCUGUUUGUCCAUAUGGCUAUGGGAUAAUGACAUGCAACAACUUGAGGACAAGCCUGAAGAAUCGGAGCCGUCCAUGCUGCUGCUUCGUCAAGAUCCUAUGGAACUUGGACAUUCUCUUGGGAUCACAUCUUGGUGGUGAUAGAUCAUGUUUAUUCAGCUCGGUACUGUCUCCGUUCGCUGCCCAGGAGAAGGUGAUAAUCUCGUCUUUUACCUCAUUUAGUUUCAUCUCUUUCUUCUCGACUUUUAUGUGUAUUGAUGGAUGUCUGUAUCUUUUAUGUCAUGUAAGCUAAAUACCAGCGUUACUCUUUCUAAUGCUAAGCAAUUAUUUUUCUGUUGUGCUCGGAAUUAGUUCGAGAUUUGCUUCCUAUGUUGAAUGUUUUGAAUGCUCUGCAUAUUCGGUUUUCUUUUGCAGGCGUGUUCGGAGGUCAACACUUGGUUGUUUCUUUUUUGAUAUCAUGAAUACCUUUAGUUGUUUGGUAGAGUGUAUUAGAGAAAAUAAUGCAUGUAUUAGCUUGAUGUAAUAGUAGUACCUUGUUUGGUACACUUUUUUAAUCAUAGUAUAACUAAUACUUGUAUUAGUAAUACACAGAUUAGUUGUUUGGUAGAGUGUAUUAGAGAAAAUAAUGCAUGUAUUAGCUUGAUGUAUUAGUAGUACCUUGUUUGGUACACUUUUUUGAUCUAUGCAUAACUAAUACUUAUAUUAGUAAUACACUCUAUUGUAUAUUAAAGAGUGUAUUACUAAU
Molecule: non-coding RNA, 1024 nt
Organism: Solanum lycopersicum (tomato)
Lineage: Eukaryota; Viridiplantae; Streptophyta; Magnoliopsida; Solanales; Solanaceae
Source: RefSeq, a predicted model, not a curated record